Long non-coding RNA from Cuculus canorus (common cuckoo), 1588 nucleotides. RefSeq lists it as uncharacterized. The record is from RefSeq and is a predicted model, not a curated record. The transcript is spliced from 3 exons. NCBI's taxonomy places the organism in Eukaryota, Metazoa, Chordata, Aves, Cuculiformes, Cuculidae.
CCUUUCUACACCUUGUGAAAUGUUUUUCUGCAUUUACUAUAAUGAAAGGGAAUUCCCCAGACAUCAGUACCGGAGGCCAAACAUCACUCUUUAAUUCCUGAUUCCUCUGCCUCCCUCAAAAGUGGUACAGGAGGAUGGGAAAUGGAGGGUUGUGACGAUGGAGUGAAACAAGAGCCUGUGGGGCACAGUUCAUAUCUGAAGGUCAAUGGCAAAAGCCGCAAGUCUGGUACCUCUCAAGUGCCUGGUUUUCUCUGUCAGUUAGCAAAGAUGCCUGGGUUGGCUAAUUAAAUGCACUUCAAGAACUGCUGCAGGCAAGACCAGUGCUUCUGUCUGCAGUGAGGCACAGCUUCUGUGAAUGCAGCUUCAAGAGGGGACUUGAAUUAAAAAAAGCAAAACACACACCCGAGAAUGUCAACCUGAUGCCGAAAGCAGCUGUAAAAAAUCCCAGUAAGAAGAGGAACAGUUGUUUUAUGUCAUAAUGUUGGAGUCUAGAAGCCCACAGUACGUUCCUGGCUGUGCUUCUGCUCACUGUGUGACUUAAAAAAGGAUAAUUAUGACUUUGAUAUCUUCCAGUUGCUUCAGCUGGGAAACGGGUAAAGAAAUCUUCUGGUCCCUCUUUGUCACCACUUCAUUUGACAAGAACAGGCAAAUUCAGAAAUCUUGCAGCUCGACUUCACAGUUAAGGGAAACUUGAGGAUAUUUGAUUAGGAUUGUGCUUCAAAUGGUGACUUUUUUAGUUAGCUUAGUCCUGGAUCAACCCAGAGUAAUUUGUUUGGAAGAAAAUCCAAGCAACAAAUUAAUCAAUGAAUCCUUGGAGAUACAAACUUCGUUUUAUUUUGUGGCGUCAUAUAUGCAUUGCCUUUCUCAUUUCUUUUCAUUCUCCUGUUGCUACAAUGCAGGCUGGCUCAAGUUUGGGACCUGUAGACAAAAGCAGGGGGCAGACAUCCCAGCCUUCUCUUGUUUUGGCACUACUCUGCGGAGAGGGCCUGUAACUCUACCAUUAGACACACAACUCACUUGCACACUAAGAACAUGUGUGAGGGGACCACUUGAAGACUCCUUCCAUUGAGCUAACCGGUGAGAAGGGAGUUUUAAACACUCUGAAGUGCUGUUGUAACAGCUUUCCAUGUUUAUUGUAUAAUAGAAGCUAAAAUGUCUAACAGCUGUAUAAUACAUCACUUGCAUGGAGGCAGUGAAAAUUCUGAAGGCAAAAAUCUCAGUAAGGUAGGUAUUUUGUGGGGAGAAAAAGGUUUUUAAGCAGAGAGAACUGCAUUAACACAGAAUACUAGGCAAUUUGGUCCUGUUGCUGAGCUUAGAAGCAAAUUUGUCAUAAUAUUGGCCUCAGUUUUGAACUGGACUUUUCUGCCGUUGCUUUUCCUUCCCCUCUAAUUUUCAUAAUUUCAGGCUUAUGUACUGUAUGUGCUUCUGGGUGCUAAUACUGUCUCUACCAUGUUUCUGCAAUUUGUUUGCAAAAUAUCCUUUAGUCUGAAGCUGCUGUUGUGGAAAUUAUUAGUGAUCACAAUGUGUGCAAUGCCUAAUUAGUACUGGAACUCGAGCCUUAUCUUCUUCUCAUAUGCAGCCAGAAAUC